This 343-nucleotide unclassified non-coding RNA is filed under the name soil metagenome. RNAcentral describes it as "partial contains 5.8S ribosomal RNA, internal transcribed spacer 2, and large subunit ribosomal RNA". The stretch from base 1 to 120 matches the Rfam family "5.8S ribosomal RNA", at positions 35 to 154 of the family's 154-position model. The record is from RNAcentral.
GAUGAAGAACGCAGCGAAAUGCGAUAAGUAAUGUGAAUUGCAGAAUUCAGUGAAUCAUCGAAUCUUUGAACGCACAUUGCGCCCCUUGGUAUUCCGAGGGGCAUGCCUGUUCGAGCGUCAUUACACCACUCAAGCACUGCUUGGUAUUGGGCAUCGUCCGUCGAAAGGCGGGCGUGCCUCUAAGACCUCGGCGGGGUUUCUCCAACUUCGGGCGUAGUAGAGUUAAAUCGAACGUCUUAUAAGCUUGGUGGGACUCCAUUGCCGUUAAACCUUUUAUUUUCUAGGUUGACCUCGGAUCAGGUAGGGAUACCCGCUGAACUUAAGCAUAUCAAUAAGCGGAGGA